Molecule: RNase P RNA, 231 nt
Filed under: Paucimonas sp.
Lineage: Bacteria; Pseudomonadati; Pseudomonadota; Betaproteobacteria; Burkholderiales; Burkholderiaceae
Description: partial RNase P RNA component class A
Rfam family: Bacterial RNase P class A
About the family: Ribonuclease P (RNase P) is a ubiquitous endoribonuclease, found in archaea, bacteria and eukarya as well as chloroplasts and mitochondria. Its best characterised activity is the generation of mature 5'-ends of tRNAs by cleaving the 5'-leader elements of precursor-tRNAs. Cellular RNase Ps are ribonucleoproteins.
Source: RNAcentral
AACCGCCUAAGCACUUCGGUGCCGGUAAGGGUGAAAAGGUGCGGUAAGAGCGCACCGCACGACUGGCAACAGUUCGUGGCUAGGUAAACCCCACUCGGAGCAAGACCAAAUAGGGUUCCACAUGGCGCGGCCCGCGUUGGAACCGGGUAGGUUGCUAAAGGCGUCCAGUGAUGGCCGUCGUAGAGGAAUGACUGUCCUCGACAGAACCCGGCUUACAGAUCGACUCUCCAC